Molecule: non-coding RNA, 79 nt
Organism: Trichonephila clavipes
Lineage: Eukaryota; Metazoa; Arthropoda; Arachnida; Araneae; Nephilidae
Source: the annotation of a GenBank genome assembly
GACCCUGUAGCGCAAUAACGGAUAGCGCGUUGGACUUCGAAUCCAAAGUUUGUUUCGUCGAAUCCAACCUGGGAUGGCA